This 468-nucleotide ribosomal RNA is filed under the name uncultured bacterium. RNAcentral's name for it is "partial 16S ribosomal RNA". It matches the Rfam family "Bacterial small subunit ribosomal RNA", at positions 28 to 507 of the family's 1533-position model. The record is from RNAcentral.
GACGAACGCUGGCGGCGUGCUUAACACAUGCAAGUCGAACGGAAAGGCCCUGCUUUUGUGGGGUGCUCGAGUGGCGAACGGGUGAGUAACACGUGAGUAACCUGCCCUUGACUUUGGGAUAACUUCAGGAAACUGGGGCUAAUACCGGAUAGGAGCUCCUGAUGCAUGGUGGGGGUUGGAAAGUUUCGGCGGUUGGGGCUGGACUCGCGGCUUAUCAGCUUGUUGGUGGGGUAGUGGCUUACCAAGGCUUUGACGGGUAGCCGGCCUGAGAGGGUGACCGGCCACAUUGGGACUGAGAUACGGCCCAGACUCCUACGGGAGGCAGCAGUGGGGAAUAUUGCACAAUGGGCGGAAGCCUGAUGCAGCAACGCCGCGUGCGGGAUGACGGCCUUCGGGUUGUAAACCGCUUUCGCCGGUGACGAAGCGUGAGUGACGGUAAUGGGUAAAGAAGCACCGGCUAACUACGUG